Molecule: transfer RNA, 84 nt
Filed under: Felis catus (domestic cat)
Lineage: Eukaryota; Metazoa; Chordata; Mammalia; Carnivora; Felidae
Rfam family: tRNA
About the family: Transfer RNA (tRNA) molecules are approximately 80 nucleotides in length. Their secondary structure includes four short double-helical elements and three loops (D, anti-codon, and T loops). Further hydrogen bonds mediate the characteristic L-shaped molecular structure. tRNAs have two regions of fundamental functional importance: the anti-codon, which is responsible for specific mRNA codon recognition, and the 3' end, to which the tRNAs corresponding amino acid is attached (by aminoacyl-tRNA synthetases). tRNAs cope with the degeneracy of the genetic code in two manners: having more than one tRNA (with a specific anti-codon) for a particular amino acid; and 'wobble' base-pairing, i.e. permitting non-standard base-pairing at the 3rd anti-codon position.
Source: Rfam by way of RNAcentral
GCCUGGGUGGCUCAGUCGAUUGAGCAUCUGACUUCAGCUCAGGUCGUAAUCUGCAGUUCGUGGGUUCGAGCCCUGCGUCGGGCU